GUACUGGUGAAGAGUCUCAAACUAGGACGAAACAGCUGUCCAGUAC
Trichobilharzia regenti is the source of this 46-nucleotide non-coding RNA. The record is from Rfam. NCBI's taxonomy places the organism in Eukaryota, Metazoa, Platyhelminthes, Trematoda, Strigeidida, Schistosomatidae.